AGCGAACGCUGGCGGCAGGCCUAACACAUGCAAGUCGAACGCCCCUUCGGGGGAGUGGCGGACGGGUGAGUAACGCGUGGGAACGUGCCCUUUGGUACGGAACAACUGAGGGAAACUUCAGCUAAUACCGUAUGUGCCCCCAUUCUUAGCGGGAUGGGUGGGAAAGAUUUAUCGCCAUUGGAGUGGCCCGCGUUAGAUUAGCUAGUUGGUAGGGUAAUGGCCUACCAAGGCGACGAUCUAUAGCUGGUCUGAGAGGAUGAUCAGCCACACUGGGACUGAGACACGGCCCAGACUCCUACGGGAGGCAGCAGUGGGGAAUCUUGCGCAAUGGGCGAAAGCCUGACGCAGCCAUGCCGCGUGAAUGAUGAAGGUCUUAGGAUUGUAAAAUUCUUUCACCGGGGACGAUAAUGACGGUACCCGGAGAAGAAACCCCGGCUAACUUCGUGCCAGCAGCCGCG
Molecule: ribosomal RNA, 458 nt
Filed under: uncultured bacterium
Lineage: Bacteria
Description: bacterial SSU rRNA
Rfam family: Bacterial small subunit ribosomal RNA
Source: RNAcentral